UAGGAUGUGUCUUUAGUCAAGUG
RNAcentral lists this non-coding RNA (23 nucleotides) under Arabidopsis thaliana (thale cress). Lineage: Eukaryota; Viridiplantae; Streptophyta; Magnoliopsida; Brassicales; Brassicaceae. The record is from RNAcentral.